GGUAAGGGACACCCUCGAAUAUCGUUAAGGGUUUUCGGCAUGCCUCUGCAUAGAAACACCCUUAUGUUCUUACUGCUGUUGAACCUCACUAAAAGCCCUGCUGCCACGCCGAAUACCAACAAGGUUCGCCCUUUGAUAUGGUAUGAUGGCCGACAGAAAAUUGGCGAAGGCGUUACACUAAGAGCGCAUGUCCUGUACGACUGAAAUCACUUCGCAGAACGAGUACCUCAACAGGACAUAAAUAAAUAUUUCGACGAACUGUUUCAGAAGGUUAGAGAAACCUUCAACAAUAAAACUGUCAUGAUAUCUACUAAGGUUGAAAAAGCUUCUUUGGUAAG
Dermacentor silvarum is the source of this 338-nucleotide long non-coding RNA. RefSeq lists it as uncharacterized. Lineage: Eukaryota; Metazoa; Arthropoda; Arachnida; Ixodida; Ixodidae. The record is from RefSeq and is a predicted model, not a curated record. The transcript is spliced from 3 exons.